Molecule: ribosomal RNA, 380 nt
Filed under: uncultured cyanobacterium
Lineage: Bacteria; Bacillati; Cyanobacteriota
Description: bacterial SSU rRNA
Rfam family: Bacterial small subunit ribosomal RNA
Source: RNAcentral
CGAAAGCCUGACGGAGCAAGACCGCGUGAGGGAGGAAGGUCUGUGGAUUGUAAACCUCUUUUUUCAGGGAGGAAUAAAUGACGUGUACCUGAAGAAUAAGCAUCGGCUAACUCCGUGCCAGCAGCCGCGGUAAGACGGAGGAUGCAAGUGUUAUCCGGAAUCACUGGGCGUAAAGCGUCUGUAGGUGGUUUAGCAAGUCAACUGUUAAAUCUUGAGGCUCAACCUCAAAAUCGCAGUCGAAACUAUUAGACUAGAGUAUAGUAGGGGUAAAGGGAAUUUCCAGUGGAGCGGUGAAAUGCGUAGAGAUUGGAAAGAACACCGAUGGCGAAGGCACUUUACUGGGCUAUUACUAACACUCAGAGACGAAAGCUAGGGUAGCA